UUGGCUUCCUGAGUGUGGACUCCAAGAUUCCAGCAUCCAGGGUGCUUUCCCCACUCCCACAAGCUGCUAGAAGGGUAACCCCAAGCCCGUUCUCGGUUCUCUGCGAGGAUGACGUCCGUGUUGCUCUUCCCCUCAGCUGAGUGGAUGAAGCCCUUUGACUCAAAGGCAACUUCUUAUGAUUCAACCCUUCUCAUAGCUGAGGAUCAGAGAAUUUCAGAGACGUGCUCAAGUUCACUGAGCUAGAAAGCAGGCGAGCUGCAUUCCAGUCUUAUCCAUUUUGCUAAAUUAAUGAAUCUCAAACUUUACUAUAUGCACAAAUUCCCUGUGGGUCUUUUUAAAAAGCACAUUUUGAAUCAACAGGUCUGGGAUGGGGCCUGAGGUCCCAUACUUCUCACAAGGUCCCAGUGAUGCUGAGGCUGCUGGUAGAGUGGCUACAUGUUGAGCAGCAGGUUGCUGGAUCUUUUAGGCGCGAAGGCAGUGGGUGAUCAGGGCCUGGCUGGCUGGAACACACACACACAGACAGACACAGACACACACAGAGACACAUACAGAGACACAGAUACACACACAGACAUAAACACACACAGACACACACACAGAGGCACAGACAUACACAUAGACACACACACACACAGAGAGACACACACACACAGAGACAUACACACAGAUGCACAGACAUACACAGAGGCACACACAGAGACACACACAGACACACACAGAGACACAGAAACACACACACACACAGACACACACACACACAGAGCGGCCUGGGGAAAGGGGGAAAGCGGAGCCCAGGGAGGCGCCGAGGAAGGCAGCCGGGAGACAGGAGAGAACAUUUCACAGGCCCCCAAAGCGGAGCAGAAGAAAUUGUUUCCAGAGGCCAUUUAGAGCUGCCCCCCUCCCGCCUCUACAGCCCUGUCACUUAGCAGGUCUAGAGGUCCCCUUGCAGCUGCCAGGACUGGGUGGAGGGAGGGCAAGCAGGGCAGGGCAGACAGGGCCUGCUGGAGAAAAUCUCACCAAACCAGGCUUGGCAUCCGUGUCCCCCAUGGCCCUGUGCCUGGGGGGUGGGGGGGUUGUUGGGGGGGGGUGGCAGAGAAAAGUGGUCCAAUAUGGCUGGUCUGCACACGCCCCAGAUGCCCACAGGCUCAUUAGGAGAGGCCAGAUGGGUAACCCGAGAGCCCUGAAAAUGUGGCCUUUAGAACUGCCGACUCUAUGCUCUCCAAAAGGGAGCUCUGUCUGCUGGAUCCCAGGUAGGUCAAAGUAAAACACAAAAAGCUUGUAUCUGCUCUGGAGGAAACACAUUGUGAAGGAAAGAAAUCCCCCCAAAUUUCUCUCUGAUUUUUCUUUUAUUGUUGUAAAAGGAUUUAACAUGGAUCUACCCUUUAAUAAUUUUU
This 1394-nucleotide long non-coding RNA is filed under the name Homo sapiens (human). RNAcentral describes it as "non-protein coding lnc-SERPINA3-3:2". Lineage: Eukaryota; Metazoa; Chordata; Mammalia; Primates; Hominidae. The record is from RNAcentral.